GGUUAGUAACGCGUGGGAAUAUGCCCGACACUAAGGAAUAGCCUCUGGAAACGGAGAGUAAUACCUUAUACGCCCUUCGGGGGAAAGAUUUAUCGGUGACGGAUUAGCCCGCGUUAGAUUAGAUAGUUGGUGGGGUAAUGGCCUACCAAGUCUACGAUCUAUAGCUGGUUUUAGAGGAUGAUCAGCAACACUGGGACUGAGACACGGCCCAGACUCCUACGGGAGGCAGCAGUGGGGAAUCUUGGACAAUGGGCGCAAGCCUGAUCCAGCCAUGCCGCGUGAGUGAUGAAGGCCUUAGGGUCGUAAAGCUCUUUCGCCAGAGAUGAUAAUGACAGUAUCUGGUAAAGAAACCCCGGCUAACUCCGUGCCAGCAGCCGCGGUAAUACGGAGGGGGUUAGCGUUGUUCGGAAUUACUGGGCGUAAAGCGCGCGUAGGCGGAUUAGUCAGUUAGAGGUGAAAUCCCGGGGCUCAACCCCGGAACUGCCUUUAAUACUGCUAGUCUUGAGUUCGAGAGAGGUGAGUGGAAUUCCGAGUGUAGAGGUGAAAUUCGUAGAUAUUCGGAGGAACACCAGUGGCGAAGGCGGCUCACUGGCUCGAUACUGACGCUGAGGUGCGAAAGUGUGGGGAGCAAACAGGAUUAGAUACCCUGGUAGUCCACACCGUAAACGAUGAAUGCCAGUCGUCGGGUAGC
RNAcentral lists this ribosomal RNA (691 nucleotides) under uncultured bacterium. RNAcentral's name for it is "bacterial SSU rRNA". It matches the Rfam family "Bacterial small subunit ribosomal RNA", at positions 105 to 831 of the family's 1533-position model. The record is from RNAcentral.